This is a small RNA of Pluralibacter gergoviae, 65 nucleotides long. The record is from Rfam. NCBI's taxonomy places the organism in Bacteria, Pseudomonadati, Pseudomonadota, Gammaproteobacteria, Enterobacterales, Enterobacteriaceae.
UUCGGUACGACAUUGCUCACAUUGCUUCCAGUAUUAUUUGCCCGCACUCGUGCGGGCUUUUUUUU